This 301-nucleotide ribosomal RNA is filed under the name uncultured bacterium. RNAcentral's name for it is "partial 16S ribosomal RNA". It matches the Rfam family "Bacterial small subunit ribosomal RNA", at positions 509 to 809 of the family's 1533-position model. The record is from RNAcentral.
CAGUCGCCGCGGGAAUACGUAGGUGGCGAGCGUUGUCCGGAAUCAUUGGGCGUAAAGGGAGCGCAGGCGGGCGUGUAAGUCUUUCUUAAAAGUUCGGGGCUCAACCCCGUGAUGGGAAAGAAACUACAUGUCUUGAGUACAGGAGAGGAAAGCGGAAUUCCCAGUGUAGCGGUGAAAUGCGUAGAUAUUGGGAGGAACACCAGUGGCGAAGGCGGCUUUCUGGACUGCAACUGACGCUGAGGCUCGAAAGCCAGGGGAGCGAACGGGAUUAGAUACCCCCGUAGUCCCUGUCUCUUAUACA